UAGUUGGUGGAGUGAUUUGUCUGGUUAAUUCCGUUAACGAACGAGACCUCGACCUGCUAAAUAGUUUGCGUCAUCUUUUGAUGGCGUAUUAACUUCUUAGAGGGACUAUCGGUGUGUAGCCGAUGGAAGUUCGAGGCAAUAACAGG
This 146-nucleotide ribosomal RNA is filed under the name Cercozoa sp. Its description in RNAcentral is "partial small subunit ribosomal RNA". It matches the Rfam family "Eukaryotic small subunit ribosomal RNA", at positions 1295 to 1460 of the family's 1831-position model. Lineage: Eukaryota; Cercozoa. The record is from RNAcentral.